Molecule: long non-coding RNA, 1086 nt
Filed under: Heterocephalus glaber (naked mole-rat)
Lineage: Eukaryota; Metazoa; Chordata; Mammalia; Rodentia; Bathyergidae
Description: lncRNA (ENSHGLG00000041304.1)
Source: RNAcentral
CACACUGCCCUCUGGACUGGGCCUCCCAGCACGGGCUGGGGUGUGGAGAAGCCUUCUGAUCACUGUCAUGCUGUGCUGCUCUCCCCUCCCUUCCCCAGGCCCUCACCAGUCCCUCCCAGCCCCGCUGGCUCCUGUCCAUGAGGCCGCACCCCGCUUUGGCCUAACUGCUGAUGAGCUCCCCUUCCUCACCUUCCCAUACUCCUUCAAGUAGUCUCGCUGCUAAGCUCAGGCUUAUUUUUCUUCUGACCCUGUACCCUGGAAUCCAGCCCAGCUUCUCUCAUUGCAGGGCACAGCGGGGCGUUAUGCACUCCAGCCGCCCUGCCCUCGGGACAGCAGAUGUCGCCUGACGCGCUCCUCCAUCCCUGCCGCUGCAUCCCCGGCCCUCCUGGCUGUGUCACUCCACCGGCUCUGCCUCGAAGCCCCGCGGCCACCGCUCUCCUCUGUUUCCGUCUGCUCAGCCUUCCGGGUUCCACACACAUGCAGCCGUGUGGUGUGCUUGCUUCUGUGUCCAGCUUACUCCCCUCAGCGAUGCUCUCUGGGUCCCUCCGUGCUUCACAGACGGCAAGGCCUUCUUCAGGGCUGAGCAUUACUCCGUCUUAUGUGCAGAUCAGUGUUCUGUCCAUUCCCCUGCUGUUUCCAUAGCCGGGCUGUGGUGGGGAACGCUGUCGGGCCGGGGGCGCAGGCAUCUCUUCGGGCACCGACCUCACUGCCGUUUGUGUACCCAGGAGACUCCUGCUCCCACUGGGCCUCUUCGCCCUUCGUGGGACGCCCCGCCUUGGGCCCACGAAGGCUGCGCUGAUGCCCCUGCCUCUGCCGUCCUCACCGGCCCUGCUGCCGCCUGCCUGUCCUCUCAGCAGUGCCACUGGCAGGUGGGAAGCGAAGCGCCGUCUCAUCUGGUUUUACUUUGCGUCUCACGGAGGAUGCAUGACACCAAGCACUUUGCACAUGGCUGCCAGCCAUUUGUGUCUUUCUUGGAAAACGUCUUCUCAAAGAGCUUUCCAGACCAUUUUUGUUCAGCUCUAGACUGCUGCCUGAUUCUAAAAUCACGAAAAAGGGAGGAAGGUGUGAGGGGAAGAGCAGGGGAGG